RNAcentral lists this microRNA precursor (90 nucleotides) under Malus domestica (apple). Its description in RNAcentral is "miR3627d stem-loop (mdm-MIR3627d)". The record is from miRBase by way of RNAcentral. Lineage: Eukaryota; Viridiplantae; Streptophyta; Magnoliopsida; Rosales; Rosaceae.
GGUUAAGGGAUUCUUGUCGCAKGAGAGAUGGUACGAGCUACGCUAUGGCUAACAGCAUGUUCCAUCCUCCUGUGACAUGAACCCCUUUAU